Molecule: non-coding RNA, 115 nt
Organism: Triticum aestivum (bread wheat)
Lineage: Eukaryota; Viridiplantae; Streptophyta; Magnoliopsida; Poales; Poaceae
Source: Rfam
CAGCUACUCCCUCCGUUCGGAAUUACUUGUCGCAGAAAUGGAUGUAUCUACACGUAUUUUAGUUCUAGAUAUAUUCAUUUCCAAGACAAGUAAUUCCGAACGGAGGGAGUACUGU